Molecule: ribosomal RNA, 253 nt
Filed under: uncultured bacterium
Lineage: Bacteria
Description: partial 16S ribosomal RNA
Rfam family: Bacterial small subunit ribosomal RNA
Source: RNAcentral
UACAGAGGUGGCAAGCGUUGUUCGGAAUUACUGGGCGUAAAGGGCGCGUAGGCGGUUCGGUAAGUCCUGUGUGAAAUCCCUCGGCUCAACUGAGGAACUGCACGGGAGACUGCCGGGCUUGAGUUCGGGAGAGGGAAGCGGAAUUCCGGGUGUAGCGGUGAAAUGCGUAGAUAUCCGGAGGAACACCGGUGGCGAAGGCGGCAUCCUGGACCGGCAUUGACGCUGAGGCGCGAAAGCCAGGGGAGCAAACGGG